UGCGUUAGCCAAAAAAUCGUUUUCUUUAAAGAGUUGGGAUAUGUACCCUUGGGCAAUGAUUCUUUGUAAAAGAUUAUCCAUGGCAACGAUGUUAUUUGCCUCAUUAUUUCCUCCCUACGAUACACCUCUGUUAUAUGGGUUUUCUAUUUUUUAUUUUUUCGAAAAUCUUCCUCUCCCAAAAUCUCCCAAAAAACCCUACUUUCAGCAAUUUCCCUCUCUUCAUCGGCUUUAGCUAUCAAUUCUUAAAAUUAUCUUACUGAAAAUGAAAUUUACUGCUACAUAAGUAUCUCUCCCUAAAAUAGUACCACAGUUUUACGGAGAAAUCGAGUGAAGAACAGCUCUUAGAUCUCUAGAUCUGCAUCGCCGUCUUAAGCAAGGAGAUCAAGGUGAGAGUUCUUUGAGUAAUAAACGGUUAUAUGAUUUUGAAGGUAAUUGCAUUAUAUAGAUCAAUCAUCUAGUAACUGCACUGAGUGUUUAAUUUGGUGGCCGUAAUAGUUCAAUCAUCCAUCAAGAUUCACCAUGUUUGGAAACCUUUUCAAUUUCAACUUUUGGCAAUUGACAAGUGAAGCAAAUGAACAAGGGGUAGAUGAAACGUGUGAAGAUGAUCUUAAGAGUAUUAGUUGAUAGUUGCAAGGCCUUUAGAUGUUCUAGAAAUCUUUCUUAGAAAUUUUAGCAAAUUUAUGUAUAUUAACUCUUGAAUUUAGAAAUCCACUUCCAACCAAGAGUUUGUGAGUUCGAGUCACCCCAAGAAGAAUGUGGGGAGUUCUUGAAGAGAGGGAGCCGAGGGUCUAUCGGAAAUAGCCUCUCUACCCCAGGAUAGGGGUAAGGUCUGCGUACACACUACCCUCCCCAGACCCCACUAGUGGAAUUAUACUGGGUUGUUGUUGUUGUUGUAACUCUUGAAUUUGUCAAAUAAUAUUAUCUUUUUUGCUUUAUAUAUUA
Molecule: long non-coding RNA, 942 nt
Organism: Nicotiana tabacum (common tobacco)
Lineage: Eukaryota; Viridiplantae; Streptophyta; Magnoliopsida; Solanales; Solanaceae
Source: RefSeq, a predicted model, not a curated record